RNAcentral lists this ribosomal RNA (450 nucleotides) under uncultured bacterium. RNAcentral describes it as "partial 16S ribosomal RNA". It matches the Rfam family "Bacterial small subunit ribosomal RNA", at positions 354 to 796 of the family's 1533-position model. The record is from RNAcentral.
GUGGGGAAUUUUGGACAAUGGGCGCAAGCCUGAUCCAGCAAUGCCGCGUGCAGGAAGAAGGCCUUCGGGUUGUAAACUGCUUUUGUACGGAACGAAACGGCUCUGGUUAAUACCCGGGGCUAAUGACGGUACCGUAAGAAUAAGCACCGGCUAACUACGUGCCAGCAGCCGCGGUAAUACGUAGGGUGCAAGCGUUAAUCGGAAUUACUGGGCGUAAAGCGUGCGCAGGCGGUUGUGUAAGACAGGCGUGAAAUCCCCGGGCUCAACCUGGGAAUUGCGCUUGUGACUGCACAGCUGGAGUGCGGCAGAGGGGGAUGGAAUUCCGCGUGUAGCAGUGAAAUGCGUAGAUAUGCGGGGGAACACCGAUGGCGAAGGCAAUCCCCUGGGCCUGCACUGACGCUCAUGCACGAAAGCGUGGGGAGCAAACAGGAUUAGAAACCCCAGUAGUCC